This 440-nucleotide ribosomal RNA is filed under the name uncultured bacterium. RNAcentral's name for it is "partial 16S ribosomal RNA". It matches the Rfam family "Bacterial small subunit ribosomal RNA", at positions 338 to 795 of the family's 1533-position model. The record is from RNAcentral.
CCUACGGGGGGCAGCAGUGGGGAAUAUUGCACAAUGGGGGAAACCCUGAUGCAGCGACGCCGCGUGAGUGAGGAAGUACCUCGGUAUGUAAAGCUCUAUCAGCAGGGAAGAAAAUGACGGUACCUGACUAAGAAGACCCGGCUAACUACGUGCCAGCAGCCGCGGUAAUACGUAGGGGGCCAGCGGUAUCCGGAUUUACUGGGUGUAAAGGGAGCGUUGAGGGGAUUGUAAGGCUGGUGGGAAAACCCGGGGCUCAACCCCGGGAGUGCAGUGGAAACUGGUGAUCUAGAGUGUCGGAGAGGCAAGCGGAAUGCCUGGUGUAGCGGUGAAAUGCAUAGAUAUUAGGAGGAACACCGGUGGCGAAGGCAGCUUGCUGGACGAUGACUGACGUUGAGGCUCGAAAGCGUGGGGAGCAAACAGGAUUAGAUACCCGGGUAGUC